Molecule: ribosomal RNA, 449 nt
Filed under: uncultured bacterium
Lineage: Bacteria
Description: partial 16S ribosomal RNA
Rfam family: Bacterial small subunit ribosomal RNA
Source: RNAcentral
AACGAACGCUGGCGGCAGGCCUAACACAUGCAAGUCGAGCGAGGUAGCAAUACCUAGCGGCGGACGGGUGAGUAACGCGUGGGAACGUGCCCUUUGCUUCGGAAUAGCCCCGGGAAACUGGGAGUAAUACCGAAUGUGCCCUUCGGGGGAAAGGUUUAUCGGCAAAGGAUCGGCCCGCGUUGGAUUAGGUAGUUGGUGGGGUAAUGGCCUACCAAGCCGACGAUCCAUAGCUGGUUUGAGAGGAUAAUCAGCCACACUGGGACUGAGACACGGCCCAGACUCCUACGGGAGGCGGCAGUGGGGAAUCUUAGACAAUGGGCGCAAGCCUGAUCUAGCCAUGCCGCGUGAUCGAUGAAGGCCUUAGGGUUGUAAAGAUCUUUCAGGUGGGAAGAUAAUGACUGUACCACCAGAAGAAGCCCCGGCUAACUCCGUGCCAGCAGCCGCAGUAA